UAAAACGUAGGAGGCGAGCGUUAUCCGGAUUUACUGGGUGUAAAGCGCGUGCAGGCGGUUCUGCAAGUGGGACGUGAAAGCGCCCGGCUCAACCGGGCGAGGCCGUUCCGAACUGCGGGACUGGAGGCAGGUAGAGGCGUGUGGAAUUCCGGGUGUAGUGGUGAAAUGCGUAGAGAUCCGGAGGAACACCAGUGGCGAAGGCGACACGCUGGGCCUGGCCUGACGCUCAGACGCGAAAGCAUGGGGAGCGAACGGGAUUAGAAACCCCGGUAGUCCAUGCUGUAAACGAUGCUGACUAGGUGUGGCGGGUAUGAACUCCUGCCGUGCCGGAGCCAACGUGGUAAGUCAGCCACCUGGGGACUACGGCCGCAAGGUUAAAACUUAAAUGAAUUGACGG
RNAcentral lists this ribosomal RNA (397 nucleotides) under uncultured bacterium. RNAcentral describes it as "bacterial SSU rRNA". It matches the Rfam family "Bacterial small subunit ribosomal RNA", at positions 521 to 916 of the family's 1533-position model. The record is from RNAcentral.